UUCUGACCCGGAGUGAUCACUGGGAGGAGCUCUUCUUUCUGAAAUCAAUAAACCUGGCAACCCUGCUCUCAGGACCUUGAAGACAAGUAACAAGAUAAACUGGCUGACCAGAAAAGGACCUGAUUGAGACCAUAAUGAGACCUUUUAUCAAGUUCCUUGUGGUUUUGGUGCUCGCAGUUGUGGGGAUAAUGACCAUUAUCUCCGUCCCCCAAAAGAAAGCGAACAGUUCGAAUCGGACACCUGUCAGAUAUGGCGAUUCUGAGAACCUGCUGGACCAGAAGCUCCGAAACGUCGCCCAGCAAGCACUAGACGCCAUUAAUUCUACUCGCACACUGACUGCUUCUCAUAAACUAGCAGGCAAGGGCCAGCAUGUCUUCAACAACAACCUCCUUAAGUUCCACCGCAAAGUUCUGCAGGACCUGCUGAGAGAUGUGGGGGGCUACGAGCAGCUGAAUAACCUAUUACAGGACCUUGUGAUCCCCCUCAGCAAAGCUCAACGAGAUGCAAUUGGAAAGACAAUGGUGGUCGACUUCAGUUCGGAUGAGUUCUAUGUGGAUUAUAAUGAAGAUUUGUACGGAGAGUAUGCGAGGCAGCUCCGAAUGGCAGUUGUGGCAUACCUCAAGGCUCAUACAUCUGUCUACGAAAAUGAGAGAAACGGUGCCAAGGAGAAUUUUCAGCGGGUGCAGUUCAUUGCCAAUCAAAUAGUGAAACAUGAUGUGUAUGUGGACCCGAUGGCCCGUGAUCGCUGGCUGCAGGAGAACAAAAACCGUUUGCAACAGUACAAUAAUAUCAGAGAAGCAUUGAUGAAUAUGAUCCAGAACAUCCUGGAGGUCUUCAAAAAAAUGUCUGAAAAUAUCAAAGGCUUUCGUGAAAGAAACAACUGGAACGGGGACAGGACACUCAUAUUUUAACCAAGUGCCACAGAUUGGAUUCAUCUCGCGAUCUCUAUUUCAUUAUAAAGAUUGGAUGUGAGAGCUGAAGUCUUGGAUAGUUCUGGCAGUGUGUGAUCCGGACAUCCAUGAAGGCUGUUCCCGAGUGCCAAGGCCCUGUAUUAAUAUUUACCUCAGAACCUCACAUUUAUCAUUGCUUCUUUUCACACAUUGUUUUGAAUUUUUAAAUGUCUUUUCACUUUGAGUUAGAGUAAUUACUUCUGUACUUGUCAUAACAUUUAAUGUAUUCAUGUAAUAUUUAUAUAGGCUACAACUGAAUUUGUGUUAAAAAAAAAAAAUUUAAUAAAACUAAGAAAAGAUGAAAAAAAUCAGCAAAAAAAAAAAAAAAAAAAUCAAAAGAGUCAAUUUUCAGGAUAAUAUUUUAAAGAUAAUUUUGUACAAUCCAAAUAAGCUUUACAGAUAUUUAGAAAAGGUUUUAACAAUGUUUGUCAUGUUUUUCAUUUAUGCACCUAUAGGUCAAUCAAGGUCACAGGUACAAUAACUUAGGACACUAAAGAGACCUUUCUACUGACUCUGAAAAACAGCAGAAUAAAGAUGCCCAGGGUCUCUGAUCACCUGUGCGAACGUGCCUUAGUCCUGCUGCAGGAGACAAGAGGACUGCAGAUGAGAACAGAGCAAUAAACUGCAAUGUUCCUAAAAUGUGUAAAGGACUCAAAACAGCGGCGGAAAUCCCUCCAUCACACAGUCACACACACACACGAAGAUGCCUGAGACAGUGCUACAGGGAGACAGAAGGACAGCUGUUUGUCCUUCCAAUGCCAAACCACAUGUGACCAUUAGUCCCACCAGAUGUUUGAGAACAUGAAAUGCCUUGAUGGAAGAGUGGAGUAACAUCUCACAGCAAGAGCUUCAAAUCUGGUGCUGAGGAUGAGAUGCUCUGUAAAGCAGCUGGUGCCACAUCAGACUUUGUCUGUCUCAGUUUUUGAAUCUUUUUGUUUGUACAAAUAUUUACACGUUAAGAAAUUUGCUGGAAAAACUCAACAAAAAAAUUGAUUUGGCUUUGCAACAAAAAUAUGUGACAAAUAACAUCAAGUGUGCAUUUACUUGUUGGACUAUAAUGAUAAUUUGUCAUGAUAUCCAGUAAAAAUAUGAGAAAACAGAAAAUAUUUGUAGUUUGGUGUUGAUAAAGGGUAGCCUAUGCAAGUCUUACUGUGGUGAUAAACACUGAAAAUAUCAAAAUAAUCAAGAAAUUAAGGAUGACAGAAUAUUCACACCAGGCUAUAGCUUUUUAUUAGGCCACAGAUACAUUUGUAGAUUAUUUCAAUCUCUUUCGAUACUCUGAACGAUAAGACUCUUAACUGCCAUUCUGCAGCCUGUAUAACUUGUACGUUAGGUCUAUACAGGAAAGCAGGAGAGUACAAUAUGAACAACAUCAUAAAUUAAAUAUUCUGAGUGCCUCUGCUUGCAAACACGAGUAGUAUGCAUAUAUUAGUGUUAUAAUAAAUACUAAUAAUAGAAAAAAAAUAUUAUAUGACCUGAGUAAAUUGUCAUUACUGAACCAUAAGAUACAUUGGAUAGAUGGAAAUAAAAAUUCCAGAUCAAAAAAGGUAAAGGUUUUGCAUUGUUUCAGUAAAACAUAUGCUGGCAUGUUUGAAUGAAUAGCUAAUUUUUAUUUCUUUAUGAUUUCAGGUCAUGUGGAAAGACUGGAGAUCUACAGCAGCAUUGCAGUCCAGCCAAAUGAUCAACCAGUAGCUGCUCGCAUCUCAGCCUGCUUGAUGGAAAUUUCCGACUUUCACCUGGAUGACCUUUACCUUCAACUCCACCUUGCCAAGACAGAAGUGCUCGUGGUUUCAGCCACGUUAUAAUCAAUCAGUUAAACUUCACAGACUACAGUGCUGGAACUGCCCGAUCUUGCAGAUUUGCCCAGUACAACAUUGGGAAGACCAGGCCAUUCCUGUCGGAAAAUGCUACACAACAGAACAACAACUGGCUCUGCAAGCCUGUACCUAUACGCCCUCCAGAAGCUUGCGCUCUGAAAGUGAACAGCAUCUUGUGGUGCCAUCCCAAAGGGGCACAAACUCACUUUAACUGACCUUUACCUGGACUGUCCCAUGCUGGUGGAAUAACCAGACUAACUCAAAAUAUUUUCAAUAGACUGCUAAAGAUGCAUUUUUUUGUGUGUGAACAAUUGCCCUGAUAAUACUAUCUGUUUAACUGAAAAAAAAAAAAUAAUAAUAAUAAUUUCUAUGCAUUCUGUUCUAGACUAACUGGAAAUUGUCAUUGUACUUAUUGUUGCAUCCAUUCCAAGGUGAAAAAAA
Molecule: RNA transcript, 3208 nt
Organism: Megalobrama amblycephala (Wuchang bream)
Lineage: Eukaryota; Metazoa; Chordata; Actinopteri; Cypriniformes; Xenocyprididae
Exons: 8
Source: RefSeq, a predicted model, not a curated record